Molecule: long non-coding RNA, 151 nt
Organism: Aricia agestis (brown argus)
Lineage: Eukaryota; Metazoa; Arthropoda; Insecta; Lepidoptera; Lycaenidae
Exons: 3
Source: RefSeq, a predicted model, not a curated record
UGUAACAAAGAGCUUGAGCUAUCUGCUGCUAGACCUAAGUCUCAACAGAACUGACGUAGGAAUGUUUCAUCAUUUAUUGUCGCAAGUUAAUAACUCAAAGGAGCUUAAGGUUUUGGUGAGAUUUGCAUCUAUCAGCUUAUCAAUUAAUAUU